CAGCCGCCGCGGUAAUACGAGGGGGGCAAGCGUUGUUCGGAAUUAUUGGGCGUAAAGGGUGCGUAGGCGGUUCAGCAAGUCUCGUGUGAAAUCUUCGGGCUCAACCCGAAGUCUGCACGGGAAACUACUGGGCUUGAGUAAUGGAGAGGUGAGUGGAAUUUCCGGUGUAGCGGUGAAAUGCGUAGAUAUCGGAAGGAACACCUGUGGCGAAAGCGGCUCACUGGACCAUUACUGACGCUGAUGCACGAAAGCUAGGGGAGCAAACAGGAUUAGAUACCCCCGUAGUCCCUGUCUCUUAUAC
This 301-nucleotide ribosomal RNA is filed under the name uncultured bacterium. RNAcentral's name for it is "partial 16S ribosomal RNA". It matches the Rfam family "Bacterial small subunit ribosomal RNA", at positions 509 to 807 of the family's 1533-position model. The record is from RNAcentral.